RNAcentral lists this non-coding RNA (249 nucleotides) under Dethiosulfatibacter aminovorans DSM 17477. RNAcentral describes it as "Bacterial large subunit ribosomal RNA". It matches the Rfam family "Bacterial large subunit ribosomal RNA", at positions 1259 to 1507 of the family's 2925-position model. The record is from Rfam by way of RNAcentral. Lineage: Bacteria; Bacillati; Bacillota; Tissierellia.
GACCGGAAGGCCGUGUGGACUGUAUAGAAGAGAGAAUGUUGGCAUGAGUAGCGAGAGGUGAGUGAGAAUCUCACCCAUCGAAAGCCUAAGGUUUCCUGAGGAAGGCUCGUCCACUCAGGGUAAGUCGGGACCUAAGCCGAGGCCGAAAGGCGUAGGCGAUGGACAACUGGUUGAUAUUCCAGUACCACCUUUAAACGUUUGAGAGAUGGGGUGACACAGAAGGAUAGACUAUCGCACUGAUGGAAUAGU